GAUGAACGCUGGCGGCGUGCCUAAUACAUGCAAGUCGAGCGAACGGACGAGAAGCUUGCUUCUCUGAUGUUAGCGGCGGACGGGUGAGUAACACGUGGAUAACCCACCUAUAAGACUGGGAUAACUUCGGGAAACCGGAGCUAAUACCGGAUAAUAUUUUGAACCGCAUGGUUCAAAAGUGAAAGACGGUCUUGCUGUCACUUAUAGAUGGAUCCGCGCUGCAUUAGCUAGUUGGUAAGGUAACGGCUUACCAAGGCAACGAUGCAUAGCCGACCUGAGAGGGUGAUAGGCCACACUGGAACUGAGACACGGUCCAGACUCCUACGGGAGGCAGCAGUAGGGAAUCGUACGCAAUGGGCGAAAGCCUGACGGAGCAACGCCGCGUGAGUGAUGAAGGUCUUCGGAUCGUAAAAAUCUGUUAUUAGGGAAGAACAUAUGUGUAAGUAACUGUGCACAGCUUGACGGUACCUAAUCAGAAAGCAACGGCUAACUACGUG
Molecule: ribosomal RNA, 497 nt
Filed under: uncultured bacterium
Lineage: Bacteria
Description: partial 16S ribosomal RNA
Rfam family: Bacterial small subunit ribosomal RNA
Source: RNAcentral